CUCUGAUGCACCCAUGCCGCGUGUGUGAAGAAGGCCCGAGGGUUGUAAAGCACUUUCAAUGGUGAGGAAAAGAUAAAGGUUAAUACCCUUUAUGCGUGACGUUAGCCAUACAAGAAGCACCGGCUAACUCUGUGCCAGCAGCCGCGGUAAUACAGAGGGUGCAAGCGUUAUUCGGAAUUACUGGGCGUAAAGCGCGCGUAGGCGGAUUGUUAAGUCAGUUGUGAAAGCCCAGGGCUCAACCUUGGAAUGGCAUCUGAUACUGGCAGUCUAGAGUUUAGAAGAGGAAAGCGGAAUUUCUAGUGUAGCAGUGAAAUGCGUAGAUAUUAGAAGGAACAUCAGUGGCGAAGGCGGCUUUCUGGUCUAAAACUGACGCUGAGGUGCGAAAGCGUGGGUAGCGAACGGGAUUAGAUACCCCGGUAGUCCAUGCCGUAAACGAUGUCAACUAGUUGUGGGUCUUAUUAAAAAGAUUCGUAACGAAGCUAACGCGAUAAGUUGACCGCCUGGGGAGUACGGUCGCAAGAUUAAA
This 526-nucleotide ribosomal RNA is filed under the name uncultured Pseudomonadota bacterium. RNAcentral's name for it is "bacterial SSU rRNA". It matches the Rfam family "Bacterial small subunit ribosomal RNA", at positions 381 to 898 of the family's 1533-position model. The record is from RNAcentral. Lineage: Bacteria; Pseudomonadati; Pseudomonadota.